CAGCGCUGGUUUCUCCUAAGUCAUGCGUAAAUCUUUUGCCUUUUAUUGGAGAUUUCUGUGGAGAGGAACAUCAAUGAGCUUGAUGUAUUUUUCUGUGCUUAGUUCUGACAAAGCU
Small nuclear RNA from Hemibagrus wyckioides, 115 nucleotides. RefSeq annotates it as U5 spliceosomal RNA. The record is from RefSeq and is a predicted model, not a curated record. The transcript has a single exon. NCBI's taxonomy places the organism in Eukaryota, Metazoa, Chordata, Actinopteri, Siluriformes, Bagridae.